GCCCAGCCUCUACCUCAACCGUGGGCC
RNAcentral lists this non-coding RNA (27 nucleotides) under Homo sapiens (human). Lineage: Eukaryota; Metazoa; Chordata; Mammalia; Primates; Hominidae. The record is from RNAcentral.